AGCUGGAGGUGCUGAUUCUAGUUUGUGAUAUGUAAUAACUUGUUCAGACGGGCAAAGGACCCCCAAAACAAGACAAGGGACUUAGGGAGGGAAAUUUUUCUACUUCCUAAACAUGUUAUUGAGAAAUAACAAAACAACAUUAAAAAGAGAGAGAGAGAGAGAGAUUUCAGGCUAAGCAGCACUGCCAAACACUUGUUUUUAAAGGAAGAGGCAGUAAAUAUUGUGGGUGUAGCAGUUUCUGUCUCAACUAUUCAGCUCUGCUGUCACAAUGUGAAAGAAACCACAGAGAAGAUCACCACUACUCCCUCUUCAUCACAGAAUCAGCAGUUCUUUAUGUGGCCAUCACAAGCAGCUAGGACACGAAUUUGGUGGAUGCUGCAAGCAAAUAGGGUGGCAAGAAAGAAGCAAAAGGCAAGCUCGCCGUCCCUCACAUUUAUGCAUCUGGAGACUAUCUGCCCUCACCUGCUUUCGAGUCCUCUCCCUGAAUCCACUCUGAAUCCACGCUGA
RNAcentral lists this long non-coding RNA (507 nucleotides) under Mustela putorius furo (domestic ferret). RNAcentral's name for it is "lncRNA (ENSMPUG00000031947.1)". Lineage: Eukaryota; Metazoa; Chordata; Mammalia; Carnivora; Mustelidae. The record is from RNAcentral.